UCAGAGGUCACUAUUUCUUCAGUCCCUCCUGAAAGGAAAUCUUGCCCUUACUACUUGUGCCAACGUUAGGAGUGCCUAGCAAUGUUCCUAUGGAAAUAAAACCUCAGGUGGGUCUGCUUGCUCCUGGGUAUCUCACUCUUAAGCAGGAGACACGAUUCUUCCUUCAGUGUAAGGCUCAUAAACAACUGAAGAAAUACACAGACACGUACACCAGGAUUAGCCAAACUGUAGUGGGUGCUGUACUGGGAGUUCAAAGACUACGCAGCGGAGGAGAAAGGAUCUGAAGACAAGGAGAAAGAGAAGGAAGGAGUGAGAAGGAUGGAACAAGGGCAUUGCAGGAGGGUGCUCAAAUCCUCAUCACAACAAUGUUCAUUGAAGCCUUACAGUCUUCAAGGAAACCUUCAGACUUUCCUUUGUGCAAACAUCCUUCUGAGCUUGGCUCCAAUCCUCCUCCACCUCGACAUCCAGGUCUCUCCCGUGUGUAUGAUAUACAAGAGCCACAGUCUACUGCACGCUGCUCCCGUCUCUGCACCAGGGAUCCGAGCUCCCAAACUUUCGGGCUUCUGCAUAUGCUGUAGUUUCCUUGGGAGUAGCAUCCCACCCACCUUUCAUCUGCCUAAUUCCUACUCAUCCUUAAUGCUUCCCUUGGGAUUUCCCCACAGAGUGGAAUUCAGAAGGCGGCCCUGCUAUGCCAUCACCUCCUCCCGCAGCCCCCUGCAUGGUUGCUGUUGGCUUCUUUCUGUCCCCCUAGAGAGUUUCUGCCUCCUUGAAGGCGAACUCCUUGUUUAGCCCCCACCCACCUCUUCCCACUUCCCAGGCGCUGUCUGUGUCCAACCUACAGUGAAGACAUUAAUAGGCAAUUAGACUAAUAAACAAACAAAGUAUUUUAAGAAAUUAAACUUCCUGUAAUAUGGUGUCAUUUAUCUGGAAUCUGCAAGAAUAUGACUGAGCAUUGAGAAGGGAGAUGAAUAAUGAGAACUCAGAG
RNAcentral lists this long non-coding RNA (985 nucleotides) under Cricetulus griseus (Chinese hamster). RNAcentral describes it as "lncRNA (ENSCGRG00015038784.1)". Lineage: Eukaryota; Metazoa; Chordata; Mammalia; Rodentia; Cricetidae. The record is from RNAcentral.